RNAcentral lists this non-coding RNA (45 nucleotides) under Schistosoma margrebowiei. Lineage: Eukaryota; Metazoa; Platyhelminthes; Trematoda; Strigeidida; Schistosomatidae. The record is from RNAcentral.
AUCCAACUGACGAAUCACAGAUAGAACGAAACGCGCGUCCUGUAU